GAUGAACGCUGGCGGCGUGCCUAAUACAUGCAAGUCGAGCGAACAGACGAGGAGCUUGCUCCUCUGACGUUAGCGGCGGACGGGUGAGUAACACGUGGAUAACCUACCUAUAAGACUGGGAUAACUUCGGGAAACCGGCGCUAAUACCGGAUAAUAUAUUGAACCGCAUGGUUCAAUAGUGAAAGACGGUUUUGCUGUCACUUAUAGAUGGAUCCGCUCCGCAUUAGCUAUUUGGUAAGGUAACGGCUUACCAAGGCAACGAUGCGUAGCCGACCUGAUAGGGUGAUCGGCCACACUUGAACAGAGACACGUUCCAGACUCCUACGAGAGGCAGCAGUAGGGAAUCUUCCACAAUGAGCGAAAGCCUGACGGAGCAACGCCGCGUGAGUGAGGAAGGUCUUCGGAUCAUAAAACUCUGUUAUUAUGGAAGAACAAAUGUGUAAGUAACUAUGCACGUCUGUGCUGUACCUAAUCAGAGAGCCACGGUUAACUACGGG
This 497-nucleotide ribosomal RNA is filed under the name uncultured bacterium. RNAcentral's name for it is "partial 16S ribosomal RNA". It matches the Rfam family "Bacterial small subunit ribosomal RNA", at positions 28 to 507 of the family's 1533-position model. The record is from RNAcentral.